Arachis stenosperma is the source of this 2152-nucleotide long non-coding RNA. RefSeq lists it as uncharacterized. The transcript has 3 exons. NCBI's taxonomy places the organism in Eukaryota, Viridiplantae, Streptophyta, Magnoliopsida, Fabales, Fabaceae. The record is from RefSeq and is a predicted model, not a curated record.
CCUUAUGACCCAUAAGCUUCGAUCCGGAUCUCCUCCUCGCUCUUUAUUGAACAAAGAAACCCUCGUUGCUCUCAACUCUCAACUCUCAUCUCCAUGGCAACCUUGGAAGAGGGCAGAUCCCCGUUGUGCCAUUAGCCUCGUCUCCUCCUCGUCACUAGCGUCGUCACUAGCGCCGAUCUCCUCUGCAUCUUCCUGCCACCAUGCCCUAACCCUCACCAUUGCCUUCCUUGUUAUCGCGCUGCUACAUCCCCUCCACCGCGCCUCCGCCUCGCAUGUGCUACAUCCCUCGUUCGUGUUUGCCUCGAUUUUCCCUGCUGGGAAAGCCAGUCACGUGAAGAGGGAGGAUAGUUGUCAGGUAGUUGCUAAACAAAGAACAAGUAAAAAAGGUGUGACAACAGAAGUUUAAGAAGGGAGAAAAGGCCCCGCUGAGGGGUGUGUGAUAUUCACAAAGCUAGUCGGUUUUGCCACUGCACUGAUCUGUAAAGAACUCCAAGCACUGAAACCACUACUCAGGUAACCAUUUUUGUAUGCUGCUGAGUUAAUUUCAUUUGAUAAAUCAUUGACAGUGAGUGGUCAUGAGCAAAGAGCAAUAUAUAUUAUAGCUACAGAUAUAUAUACAUACGAAUGUUUGACUUCCAAUAUAGACUUUGAAUUUAUUUUUUAUUUGAAUUAAAAAAAGGCGAAUUUCAAAUAUAUUAUCAGUUUGAAAUUUAUCUACAUUAUCAUUGAAUUAUGUGUCAAUUAUAAGAAUAAAUAUGUGUGUGCUUUCUAUUUGGCUUACCUUUUCAUAAGGAAUUAAUUAUGGGGCUGAUUUAAAAGUGAUUUUGUAGUUGUAUCUGAAUUUUCUUAUGUUCUCGUUCUAGUAUUGUUUUGAAUGCAUGUAUGUAACGAGCUAUAAUAUAUAUUUACAAGGAAAUAAUCAACCCAAAACACAAAUCAAUUAUGGAUUGGCUCUUUCCAUUGAAAAAGUAUUUUCAAUGUAGCAUUAGAUUUUGUUGCAAAUUUUAAUAUAUUUCUUGUAUUUGAGUAUUAGUUUUCUAAUGUAUAAAACAAUUAUAGCAAAAGUCGUCACUAAUAACUGUUUGAUUUGUCUUGUAAUAAAAAUUGUAUAUUAUAUUUAUAAGUUUGGUAAUAAAAAAAGACUGAAAAUUUAUAUUGUUCAGCGAUGUAGAUCAAGGAAAAGAUUUUUUUUUUUAAUUUGACAAGGCUUUCGCCACGCUUUAAAAGCGUGGCCGUAUCUCUUGCUAUUGCCACGCUUUAAAAGUGUGGCCCUAUCUCUCCCUAUCGCCACGCUUUAAAAGCGUGGCCAUAUCUCCCACCUACAGCCACGCUUUUAAAAGUGGCAAUUUGUAAAAGGCGUGGCAAAAAAAGUGUGGCGAUAGGCUGAAAAAAGUGUGGCGAUAGAGCAACCGCCACCCUUUCAGAGGUCACCCUUUCAAAAGCAUGGUGGUAGCUCAAAAAGCGUGGCAAAAAGCUAUCGCCACACUUUUUUCAGUUUCUCGCCACGCUUUAAAAGCGUGGCAAUAGAUGUGUUUUCUUGUAAGUACUAGUCGCAGCCCGCGGAGUUUAGGCCGACUAGCUAUAUACAUACAUACAGAGUUUUGAAAGUUAAAACAGCAUAUAAAACAUAUCUCUCAAAGUUAGCCUUUAAGGAAAAUAAAGAUAAAAAAGUGAGACUACUAAACAAAAUAUCCAAAAUAACUCCAAAAGAUAAUCAAGAUCCUCGGCUCUGUUACCAUCUCGCAAUUUACCAAGGUGGAUUACAACCUGCAUAUGAAAAACAACAAAAGAAUAUGGUAUGAGAACCGAAGGUUCUUAGUAUGAUAACAGUGCCCAGUAAUGUAAGAUAUAAGAUCCUGGCAUGUCAGAGGCAAUCCUAGAACUUCAUAUCCGGCAUAAGAUUUAGACUAAAAGCAUAACUAAAUUUAAAACCAUAACUUUAAAACCAUAAUAAAAAUGGGGUAAUCUAGCUUAGGGAAUUUUCUAAACUAACAUUCACACCGUUGUCUCACAGCCUUCACCAGCCUAACCGCCAUGCGAUCCCAUCGCCACCACCUAUCGAACCUCCUCAAUCUCAGUAGAAAACACAAAUAAUUCAUACAAGUAAAACACAAGUAAUUAUCAAGUAAAGCACAAGUAAUUAUCAAGUAUA